This 253-nucleotide ribosomal RNA is filed under the name uncultured bacterium. RNAcentral describes it as "partial 16S ribosomal RNA". It matches the Rfam family "Bacterial small subunit ribosomal RNA", at positions 524 to 776 of the family's 1533-position model. The record is from RNAcentral.
UACGAAGGAUUUGAGCGUUAUCCGGAUUUAUUGGGUUUAAAGGGUGCGUAGGUGGAUUAAUAAGUCAGUGGUGAAAGCCCGCAGCUUAACUGCGGAACUGCCAUUGAUACUGUUAAUCUUGAGUACAGUUGAGGUGGGCGGAAUGUGUCAUGUAGCGGUGAAAUGCUUAGAUAUGACACAGAACACCGAUUGCGAAGGCAGCUCACUAAGCUGUAACUGACACUGAUGCACGAAAGCGUGGGGAGCAAACAGG